This 660-nucleotide ribosomal RNA is filed under the name uncultured bacterium. Its description in RNAcentral is "bacterial SSU rRNA". It matches the Rfam family "Bacterial small subunit ribosomal RNA", at positions 8 to 694 of the family's 1533-position model. The record is from RNAcentral.
AGAGUUUGAUCCUGGCUCAGGACGAACGCUGGCGGUGUGCUUCACACAUGCAAGUCGAACGGAGUAGCAAUACUCAGUGGCGGACGGGUGAGUAACACGUGGGAAUCUACCAUUAGGUGGGGAAUAACAGGCCGAAAGGACUGCUAAUGCCGCAUAUGUAGGCAUCUCGACAGAGAUGUUUAUGAAAGGAGUAAUCCGCCUUUUGAUGAGCCCGCGUCCGAUUAGCUAGUUGGUAGGGUAAAAGCCUACCAAGGCGACGAUCGGUAGGUGGUCUGAGAGGAUGAUCACCCACAAUGGGACUGAGACACGGCCCAUACUCCUACGGGAGGCAGCAGUGGGGAAUUUUACGCAAUGGGGGAAACCCUGACGUAGCGACACCGCGUGAGCGAAGAAGCCCUUUGGGGUGUAAAGCUCUGUCAACAGGAACGAAACAAAUGACGGUACCUGUGGAGGAAGCAUCGGCUAACUACGUGCCAGCAGCCGCGGUAAGACGUAGGAUGCAAGCGUUGUCCGGAUUUAUUGGGCAUAAAGAGUUCGUAGGCGGUUUGUUAAGUCUGAUGUUAAAGACCGGGGCUCAACCUCGGAAAUGCAUUGGAUACUGGCAGACUGGAGUGCAGUAGAGGCUAGUGGAAUUCCCAGUGUAGCGGUGAAAUGCGUAGA